This 301-nucleotide ribosomal RNA is filed under the name uncultured bacterium. RNAcentral's name for it is "partial 16S ribosomal RNA". It matches the Rfam family "Bacterial small subunit ribosomal RNA", at positions 509 to 809 of the family's 1533-position model. The record is from RNAcentral.
CAGUAGCCACGGGAAUACGGAGGGAGCUAGCGUUAUUCGGAAUUACUGGGCGUAAAGCGCACGUAGGCGGCUUUGUAAGUUAGAGGUGAAAGCCUGGAGCUCAACCCCAGAAUUGCCUUUAAGACUGCAUCGCUUGAAUCCAGGAGAGGUGAGUGGAAUUCCGAGUGUAGAGGUGAAAUUCGUAGAUAUUCGGAAGAACACCAGUGGCGAAGGCGGCUCACUGGACUGGUAUUGACGCUGAGGUGCGAAAGCGUGGGGAGCAAACAGGAUUAGAUACCCCUGUAGUCCCUGUCUCUUAUAA